GCCUUGGUAGUAUAAUAGAUAAUGACGGCAGACCGGAUACCUGUAGGUGCGAGCUCGAGUCCCGCCUAAGGUU
This 73-nucleotide transfer RNA is filed under the name Dictyocaulus viviparus (bovine lungworm). It matches the Rfam family "tRNA". From Rfam's summary of the family: Transfer RNA (tRNA) molecules are approximately 80 nucleotides in length. Their secondary structure includes four short double-helical elements and three loops (D, anti-codon, and T loops). Lineage: Eukaryota; Metazoa; Nematoda; Chromadorea; Rhabditida; Metastrongylidae. The record is from Rfam by way of RNAcentral.